Molecule: long non-coding RNA, 1015 nt
Organism: Eubalaena glacialis (North Atlantic right whale)
Lineage: Eukaryota; Metazoa; Chordata; Mammalia; Artiodactyla; Balaenidae
Exons: 3
Source: RefSeq, a predicted model, not a curated record
GGCGCUGGCGUGGCGGCCUCCGGGCGCCUCCUCACCUUCUCUUCCACGCAAUUGACAAUGAUGGACGGGUACUUGCGGCUGAGCCAGCGAAAGAAAGCCGGGACUCCCAUAGCGGCGGCGCAGCUGUAGGCGGCUGCCCGGCCCGCGAACGGACGUAACCAGAGAGACAGGCAGCAGCGGGCCGCGGGCACAGGCACUUCCUCCCACGUGUACCCGGCGACAGGAAGUGAGGUGCCGACUCCCUGGAGCUCCUGGCUCCUGUGGCCAGAGAAAACCCCCGAGUGGAGCCACAAGCUGCCCGACGGGGAGGCUGCAGGCCCGGCCUGGAGCGCCAGGGUGUGGUGGGCCCAGCGCCUGCGACACUGACCACCCCUGUGACCCCCGUAUCUACAAGGCAUGGCCUGCCAGCGCCGCGAUGACUCCUGAGAUGUGACCCCAUCUAAUCCUCGCACCAACCUGGCGGAUUAUUCCGUGAAGGCAGAUUCCAGCCUUUAGGUGGGAAGAGUGCUGAGAAAAGACGAGGACACAUCGUGCAGCAGCACUGCUGCUCUCUCGGCGGGACCCUGGCCCUCCUGAUGCAAGAAACCCUGGGAACACAUCUCUGUCACUUUGGGUCAAGUCUGGCUAACUUACGGUUUGAAAAUCUGCCUUUUGCCAUAGCUGCCAUAAUUUACAUUUUUUUUUUCAGUAAAACAAGCUCCAUGAAGGCAUAAUUUUCUAGGCAGUCUGUGCUCUGUCAAUGCUCCAUUUAAACUUGGUGCCUGUUUCUUUGUUUUGAUUGAAAUAUAGUUGAUGUACAAUAUUAUAUGAGUUACAGGUAUACAACAUGGUGAUUCACAAUUUUUAAAGGCUAUACUCCAUUUAUAGUUACUGUAAAAUACUGGCUGUAUUCCCUGUGUUGCACAAUGUAUCCGUACCUCUUAAUCCCUUCCCCCUGUCUCGCCCACCCCCCAGCCCCCUGCACUGGUAACCACUAGUUUGUUCCCUGUAUCUGGUUUUUUUAAUAAAUUUUUAU